GCACAUUAGGUUAUACCAGCCUGGAGCACAAGGAAUAGAGAGAAAUAAAGAAGCACAUUAGGUGAUAGGAGCCUGGAGCACAAGGAAUAGAGGGGAAUAAAGAAGCACAUUAGGUUAUAGGAGCCUGGAGCACAAGGAAUAAAGCGGUUCAGGUGGAGCACAAGGAAUAGAGGGGAAUAAAGAAGCACAUUAGGUGAUAGGAGCCUGGAGCACAAGGAAUAGAGGGGUUCAGGCGGAGCACAAGGAAUAGAGGGAAAUAAAGAAGCACAUUAGGUGAUAGGAGCCUGGAGCACAAGGAAUAGAGGGGUUCAGGUGGAGCACAAGGAAUAGAGGGGUUCAGGCGGAGCACAAGGAAUAGAGGGGUUCAGGUGGAGCACAAGGAAUAGAGGGGAAUAAAGAAGCACAUUAGGUGAUAGGAGACUGGAGCACAAGGAAUAGAGGGGUUCAGGUGGAGCACAAGGAAUAGAGGGGUUCAGGCGGAGCACAAGGAAUAGAGGGAAAUAAAGAAGCACAUUAGGUGAUAGGAGACUGGAGCACAAGGAAUAGAGGGGUUCAGGCGGAGCACAAGGAAUAGAGGGGUUCAGGCGGAGCACAAGGAAUAGAGGGGUUCAGGUGGAGCACAAGGAAUAGAGGGGAAUAAAGAAGCACAUUAGGUGAUAGGAGACUGGAGCACAAGGAAUAGAGGGGUUCAGGUGGAGCACAAGGAAUAGAGGGGUUCAGGCGGAGCACAAGGAAUAGAGGGGUUCAGGUGGAGCACAAGGAAUAGAGGGGUUCAGGCGGAGCACAAGGAAUAGAGGGAAAUAAAGAAGCACAUUAGGUGAUAGGAGACUGGAGCACAAGGAAUAGAGGGGUUCAGGCGGAGCACAAGGAAUAGAGGGGAAUAAAGAAGCACAUUAGGUUAUAGGAGCCUGGAGCACAAGGAAUAAAGCGGUUCAGGUGGAGCACAAGGAAUAGAGGGGAAUAAAGAAGCACAUUAGGUGAUAGGAGCCUGGAGCACAAGGAAUAGAGGGGUUCAGGCGGAGCACAAGGAAUAGAGGG
Molecule: long non-coding RNA, 1038 nt
Organism: Xenopus laevis (African clawed frog)
Lineage: Eukaryota; Metazoa; Chordata; Amphibia; Anura; Pipidae
Exons: 2
Source: RefSeq, a predicted model, not a curated record